This 253-nucleotide ribosomal RNA is filed under the name uncultured bacterium. RNAcentral describes it as "partial 16S ribosomal RNA". It matches the Rfam family "Bacterial small subunit ribosomal RNA", at positions 524 to 776 of the family's 1533-position model. The record is from RNAcentral.
UACGUAGGGUGCGAGCGUUAAUCGGAAUUACUGGGCGUAAAGCGUGCGCAGGCGGUUCUCCAAGUCCGUUGUGAAAGCCCCGGGCUCAACCUGGGAAUGGCAGUGGAAACUAGGGGACUGGAAUCUGGCAGAGGGGGGUGGAAUGCCGCGUGUAGCAGUGAAAUGCGUAGAGAUGCGGCGGAACACCGGUGGCGAAGGCGGCAUCCUGGACCAACACUGACACUGAGGAGCGAAAGCCAGGGGAGCAAACGGG